CCAGGCUGGAGCGGCGGCUGGGGGAGAGGGGCGGCGUGGGCAGCAGUUCAAACUUCUUCCAGAUGUCCUCGGACGGGGCGGGGGGCUGCAGCUCGCUGCCCCGCUGCUGCGCCGCCAGCUCGACAGGACACGCGGGCGGCGAGACCUGAUCUACCGAGGGACCGGCUGCCGCCGACUCCUGGACCACCCUCCCCGCGGCCGGCGGCCCCUCCGGAGGGGCUCCCGCGGCUCGGCCGCCCUGCGCCGCUCGGCUCGGCUCGGCUCCCCACCCGCCGCCCCCCUCCCACGGGGCACCGCUCCGGCACGAAGCCCCUUCCCUCCCGGGGCCGCAGCGCCAUCCCCAUCCCGCCUCCCGCGUCCCGGGAGCCGGGCGGGAAGGGGCGGCGAGCUCCCGGGAGCUUCCAGCCGAGAGCCGGGCUGCUCCCCAGCCACCCACCUAGGCGUGCUGGCAGGGCGCGGGGACGGGCAGGGACCCUGGCAAACUUUGCCAAAUCUUGUCAUAUAUACAUAUAUAUACGCAUAUAUAUAUGCAUAUAAGCCAUAUGUGAAAUAACCAUAACCUGCCCGCGCAUACGCGGGAGAAGCAAAUGCUUCCCCCCCCACACACAC
This is a long non-coding RNA of Tyto alba (common barn owl), 609 nucleotides long. RefSeq lists it as uncharacterized. The record is from RefSeq and is a predicted model, not a curated record. The transcript has 2 exons. Lineage: Eukaryota; Metazoa; Chordata; Aves; Strigiformes; Tytonidae.